GACGAACGCUGGCGGCGUGCUUAACACAUGCAAGUCGAACGAUGAACUCACCUUCGGGUGGGGGAUUAGUGGCGAACGGGUGAGUAACACGUGGGCAACCUACCCUUGACUCUGGGAUAACUCCGGGAAACCGGAGCUAAUACCGGAUAUGAACACUGAGGACAUCCUCGGUGUUGGAAAGUUUUUUCGGUCAGGGAUGGGCCCGCGGCCUAUCAGCUUGUUGGUGGGGUAAUAGCCCACCAAGGCGACGACGGGUAGCCGGCCUGAGAGGGCGACCGGCCACACUGGGACUGAGACACGGCCCAGACUCCUACGGGAGGCAGCAGUGGGAAUAUUGCGCAAUGGGCGAAAGCCUGACGCAGCGACGCCGCGUGAGGGACGAAGGGCCUUCGGGGUUGUAAACCUCUUUCAGCAGGGACGAAGCGAAAGUGACGGUACCUGCAGAAGAAGCACC
Molecule: ribosomal RNA, 454 nt
Filed under: uncultured bacterium
Lineage: Bacteria
Description: bacterial SSU rRNA
Rfam family: Bacterial small subunit ribosomal RNA
Source: RNAcentral